GGCGAACGGGUGAGUAACGCGUUGGUGACCUGCCCCAAAGAGAGGGAUAACAGUUCGAAAGGACUGCUAAUACCUCAUGUGGUCACGGAGACUAGAGGUUCUGUGUCUAAAGGAGCAAUCCACUUUGGGAGGGGCCUGCGUCCCAUCAGCUAGUUGGUAGGGUAAUGGCCUACCAAGGCGACGACGGGUAGGGGGCCUGAGAGGGUGAUCCCCCACACUGGCACUGAAACACGGGCCAGACACCUACGGGUGGCAGCAGUAGGGAAUAUUGCACAAUGGGCGAAAGCCUGAUGCAGCAACGCCGCGUGCACGAUGAAGGCCUUCGGGUCGUAAAGUGCUUUUCGGGGAGAUGAGGAAGGACAGUAUCCCCGGAAUAAGGAUCGGCUAACUACGUGCCAGCAGCCGCGGUAAAACGUAGGAUCCGAGCGUUAUCCGAAUUUACUGGGCGUAAAGCGCGUGCAGGCGGUUUGGUAAGUUGGAUGUGAAAGCUCCCGGCUCAACUG
This 503-nucleotide ribosomal RNA is filed under the name uncultured Anaerolineae bacterium. RNAcentral describes it as "bacterial SSU rRNA". It matches the Rfam family "Bacterial small subunit ribosomal RNA", at positions 97 to 615 of the family's 1533-position model. Lineage: Bacteria; Bacillati; Chloroflexota; Anaerolineae. The record is from RNAcentral.